RNAcentral lists this ribosomal RNA (413 nucleotides) under Gambierdiscus australes. RNAcentral describes it as "partial Eukaryotic large subunit ribosomal RNA". It matches the Rfam family "Eukaryotic large subunit ribosomal RNA", at positions 206 to 685 of the family's 3401-position model. Lineage: Eukaryota; Dinophyceae; Gonyaulacales; Pyrocystaceae. The record is from RNAcentral.
GAGAGGGUGAGACUCCCGUCCGCCUGGUAGAGUGAGUCAUGUGUCAACGAGUCGAGUUGUUUGGGAUUGCAGCUCUAAUUUGGUGGUAAAUUCCAUCUAAAGCUAAAUAUUGGUGGGAGACCGAUAGCGUACAAGUACCGUGAGGGAAAGAUGCAAAGAACUUUGAAAAGAGAGUUAAAGAGUACCUGAAAUUGCUGAAACGGAAGCGAAGGAAACCAGUGUUUGUUGGUUCAUAUUUCCUUAACCACUUGUGGUUUGGGCGCUGUGAGCUUGCGUGAGUUUGGGUUGGUUGAUUCCUUUGGAAGAGCGCAGACAGAGUUGAUGUUUGUUGCUAGCACUGGGAUUGACUGAUGCAGACGAAAUGGUUUUCUUUACCCCGUCUUGAAACACGGACCAAGGAGUCUAACAUAUGU